AGUACAACCUCAAGGCAUCGGGUUCUUAGGAUCGCUAAAUAGCUAACUUCUGAGCUCUUACUAUGUAUCAGUCACUGGGUUAAGUGCAACCCCCGUCAGGCCAGAGUGAAUUCUGGGAUUACUCAACCUGAAGAAUCUGUGCUGGAGCUUCUGGGAUUACCAUGUGGAGAACACCUGCCUGAGACCCAAGCCAUUUCAAAGGAAGCAACAUCCUGGGACGGCUCUGUGGCUGAUUGGAAAAUGGUUGUAUCAGUAUUUCUCAAUCAGGACUCAAUGACACACCUGAUGUAGUGAAUUCUGGAAGGAGAUGGGGACAAGGAUAAACUGCUAUCUACUGACAAAUGCAGCCAUAUCAUGAGGAAACUCAAGCAGCCCUAUGAAGAUGUCCACAUGGGAAGGAACUCAGGCCUCUGCCAACAGCCAGCACCAGCGUGCCAGCCAUGAGAGUGAGCCAACUUGCAGUGAAUCCUCCAGUCCCACUCAAGCCUUUGAUGACUGCUGGCCAGGCGAUGUCUUAUCACAAACUCAUGAGACACCUCAAGCCAGAAUCUCCUACAUAAG
Eptesicus fuscus (big brown bat) is the source of this 561-nucleotide long non-coding RNA. RefSeq lists it as uncharacterized. The transcript has 5 exons. The record is from RefSeq and is a predicted model, not a curated record. Lineage: Eukaryota; Metazoa; Chordata; Mammalia; Chiroptera; Vespertilionidae.